GAGGUCCAAAGAGGAGAGCUGUUCAGCUUACCUGCCACAGAGCUUUUCUGCAUGAACUCUGGAACAGAAAGGCCCUGUAAAGCCCUCAGAGAGAAGAGAGACUCCAGAGAAGGCUCCCUAAGACCUUGAGAGCCAUGACAGGUCCAUCAGCAUGAAGUUGGCCAAGCCAUAGGGCACAGCACCUCCUUGUAACAACUCUAUUGCCCUCUUUGGGAGAUGACAUGAGUGGAACUCACAGCCACCACUACCACCACUUUAGACAGGACCGAGGCCACACACUCCCCAUUCUCUCACGGAUUUCCAUCUCAGCCUCGGAGGGCAACAUUGACAAUCCUCCUGGCUUCAGCCGGAGAAGGAUGCUGGAACAAGCGGCUGGUGUUGAAAGAGUGGGUUGACCAGUUUGGUAUUGAAUGUUGCCCAGCCACCCCUAGGAACACCUGUCCAUCACCUCCUGGAUGGAUUCCGCUGUUAGACAGCUACAGGGAAUGAUUGGUCACGGGGAAGUCUCUGCGCCAUAAGCCACGAUCCCAGCGCAAAACCCUUACUCAAAUGUCUUCAUUGACUUCAAUAUUUCAUAGUACCUGAGGUUUUAUUUUGAGAUACCAUCAGGGGUCACCAGCCUGGCAGUCACAGAAAACGCAUUUGGCAACUUCCUGCAGCUGUUGUGGAAAUGACAGCAGACCACGGUCCAAGCCAAAAUGGAGAAGCCGGGCCUGGCAGAAGAAACCAGCAGGCAGCUCUGGGAGGCCAUUUGCACAGAGCUUAUUUUGAAGUCCUGGGGUUCAAAUCCCAACUCCGCCUCUGGAUAGUCACAACCCACUGGAUAGAGAAUAGUUCAAGCAGAGUGUAAUCUGAGAAUAACAAAGGUGGGCCCAGGAUAUAAGGAAACCACAUAAGUUAAUGUUGACCCAUGAAGCACCCCCUACACCUGACGGGGCGGGCAGGAAGCGGUUACCAGAGCCCAGAAAGUCAGGUGGGGAAGCACUUGAGGGCCUGUGGCCUUAGACAGAGGCAGCCAGGCUGAGGCAUGUGCCUUAGGGGAACACACAUCUCAGCCUCACCCUCCCUGCCUCCUGGGGAACCUUGAGGCCACCAAACAAGGAGCCAUUAAUGCAGUUCAUGCUCCCAGGAGCAUUGAGCAGAGAGAAGUAGAGAGGACAAGGGUGAGAAGGGGAUCGGAGGCACUAAGGAAGACACUGGCAGAGCCAUUUAUUGUGCAUCUGAGGCAAGUCACUUCCCCUGCCCAAUCUGUUUCCUUAUCUGUAAAAUUGGGAUGUUACCUCACUCACUUGAGGUGAGGAAUAAAUUAUUUAAAACAUAUAAUGGUGGCUCACACCAGUAAUCCCAAUACCUUGGGAGGUUGAGGCAGGAGGAUCGCUUGAGCCCAGGAGAGAUCAGCCUGGGCAACAAAGGGAGACACUGUCUCUACAAAAAAAUAGAAAAAUUAGCCGGGUGCAGUAGCACAAACCUGUAGCCCUAGCUAUUCAGGAGGCUGAGGCAGGAGGCUCGCUUGAGCCCAGGAGUUUGAGGCCGCAGUGAGCUGCGUGGGGGACAGAGUGGGGGACAGAGUGAGACUCUGUCUCAAAAAAUAAAUAAAUAAAAAUAAAACGUGGAAAGUACCUAGCAUGAAGCCCAGUAGGAAAUUUUUUAAAAGGCAGUUGUUGUUAUUAUUAUUAUAACUCAUGUGGGGAGAAAUCAGGCUGAGAGAGAUACGUUAGAGUUGGCUGAAAGGUACAACAGCGAGGGAUGUUUGAGGCAGCCUAACAUACACUAUGAUAAAUACCACCACACUCAACAAGCAGCCUCUCUCCCUGUAAAAACAUCAGGUCAACCUGGACAGAGGCAGAAGACUGCACAUGCUGCCAUUUUAACAACAAGGCAAAAAAAAAAAUUCUCGCUCACUUGGCCCACUCCCAUCUCAACCCUUCCUACCCACACAGUGGGGCCAGUCUAUUUUAGCAAAAGACCAUUUAGUUAAAGGAGGCUGACAAGGAAAGGAUCCAGAUUUCUCCUUUUCUGUCUUUUAAAAAAAUCCACAGAUAUAAAUAAGCCCAAGACAGUCUGUUUCUGCCACCUUCUAAACAGACCUGUGAUGAAUUAAUAUCAGGACCAUGGGAGACUGUGACCGAAGGAUGGGUUAGGCUGGCCGCAGACCCAGCCAAUUCCACAAGCCCAGGCUUUGAAGCCAGUUUGGAAACUAGCCAUCAGGAAACUCCACAAACCUCAAUUUCUCCCAGACAAUUUUGGAGGAAAAACCCAAGUCAGCAAAGAAUAUGGAAAUUACUGAGAAGGUACGAGGUCCAUGGAGGCUCCAUCUUAAAGAAUGAAUGCCAUCGGCUGGGCACGGUGGUUCACACCUGUAAUCCCAGCACUUUGGUAGGCCAAGGCAGGCAGAUCAUGAGGUUAGGAGAUCAAGUCCAUCCUGGCCAACAUGGUGAAACUCUGCCUCUACUAAAAAUACAAAAAUUAGCUGGGUGUGGUGGUGCAUGCCUGUAAUCCCAGCUACUUGGGAGGCUGAGGCAGGAGAAUCGCUUGAACUAGGGAGGUGGAGGUUGCAGUGAGCCGAGAUCACGCCACUGCACUCCAGCCUGGCAACAGAGCAAGACUCCAUUUCAAAGAAAAAAAAAAAAAGAAAUUCAAAUUUAACUGAGCAUCCUAUGUUUCAGCUGGCAUCCCAGCUCAGGAAUGACAAGAACAGUGCUGAAAGGGACACAGCUCAAGCUACAGAGGUCUCCAACUGGUGGCCUCCAGGCCAUAUGAGGCCCAUGCAUGUGUGUUGCUCAGUCUUCACAGUUUAUAAAAUUGGAACAGGCUACAAACAUUUUCAAGAACUUUAAAGGAUUUCUUGCCUCUUUAAAAAUGGGAAGCUCCAACCAUGCAGGUAGAAGCUGCCCCACUAUGGGAACAUAAUGGGGACAGAAGGGAACGUGGAAAAGUGAAAACUGAUCACGGACUUGUUAGGAUGGAGAGAUUGUGAAUAAAUCUGUUUAGGGGUUGUUUAUUGCAUGAGGAGUCUGGAAGUGACAGUGUCAAUAGCCCAUGCCUGGGGAACUGGCCCUCUGCAGGCUCCACUGCUGCGGUCCCAGAAGUGCUGGCUGCAGUGUCUGAAAAACCUGCCCAUCUGCACCAUCUCUGCCAGACGAACUUGUACUUCCCUCUUUCCAGGCACAAGAUGAAGGCCUCUUGCCAUGGGCUGGAGAAAUCAGCCCCUACAGCACCCCCUGCAGACACAGGCUGGAGUUGCAAGUCCUGGGAGAGACCUGCUCUAUCUUCUCUGGCAAUUGUGGCCACUACUAGAGGAACUCAGGAAGGCAAAAUCUAGGAAAAGAAAAAGAAGAUUCAGCCAACGGCUAAUACAUAGCAGAGCCGGGAUUUGAACCCAAGUCUAGCUCCAGAGCCUAUGUUUGUUUUUAACAUUUUUAAAAAGCACUUUCGGAGGGUGAGGCAGGAGGAUCACUUGAGACCAGGAGCUUGAGAUCAACUCCAGCAACAUAGUGAGACCCCUAUCUCUACAAAAAAUUUAAAAAUUAGAUGAGUGUGGUAGCACGCACCUGUAGUCACAGCUACUCAGGAGGCUGAGGUGGGAGGAUUGCUUGAACCUGGAAGGUGGAGGCUGCAGUGAGCUAAGAUCGUACCAUUGCACUCCAGCCUGGGUGACAGAGCAAGACCCUGUCUCAAAAAUAAAUAAUAAAAAAAUUGUCAUACAAUAAAACUAUUUUUUUAUUUUGCUGUACAGUUCUAUAAAUCUGGGUUUUUGUUUUGAGAUGGAGUCUCACUCUAUUGCCCAGGCUGGAGUGCAAUGGUGCAAUCUCAGCUCACUGCAGCCUCCACCUUCCAGGUUCAAGCGAUUCUCCUGCCUCAGCCUCCCAAGUACCUGGGAUUACAGGCACGCGCCACCACGCCCAGCUAAUUUUUGUAUUUUUAGUAGAGAUGAGAGAUGGGGUUUCACAAUGUUGGCCAGGGUGGUCUCAAAUUCCUAACCUCAGGUGAUCCACCCACCUUGGCCUCCCAAAGUGCUGGGAUUACAGGCAUGAGCCACCAUGCCUGGCCCAGUACUAUGAAUCUUAACACAUGUACACAUUCAUGUAACCACUACCGUAAUCAUGAGACCCCAAACACUUCCUUGUGCGAUCCCUUUACAUCCACAUCCGCCACCCAUCCUAACUUCUGGCAACACCAUCAUCUCUUCCCUUCAUCACACCUUUGUCUUUUCCAGAAUGUCAAAUAAAAGGAAUCACACAGCAUGUAACCAUUUGAGGCUGGCUUCCCUCAGUCAGCACCACAUCUCUGAGGUUCAUCCAAGUUGUUGCACAAUCACUAGUUUAUUCCUUUUCACUCGGAUGAAGAUGACUAUUACUUAUCGGGGGACCUGCACCAAUAAUCACGUAGGUUCUUUUCUAUUUUCCUAAGCGUCGGCUGGCUUGAGAAAUAAAGCGACAGAGUACAAAAGAGAGACAUUUUAAAGCUGGGCGUCCGGGGGAGAUAUUACACAUUGGUAGGAUCCGUGAUGCCCCACAAGCCACAAAAACCAGCAAGUUUUUAUUAGGGAUUUUCAAAAGUGGGGGAGUGUGCGAACAGGUGUGGGUGACAGACAUCAAGUACUUAACAGGGUAAUAGAAUUCACAAGGCAAGUGGAGGCAGGGCGAGAUCACAGGACCACAGGACCGAGGUGAAAUUAAAAUUGCUAAUGAAGUUUCGGGCACCAUUGUCAUUGAUAACGUCUUAUCAGGAGACAGGGUUUUGAGAUCAACCGGUCUGACCAAAAUUUAUUAGGCGGGAAUUUCCUCUUCCUAAUAAGCCUGGGAGCCCUAUGGGAGACUGGAGUUUAUCUCACCUCUGCAAUCUCGACCAUAAGAGACAGGUACGCCCCGGGGGGGGGGCCAGUUCAGAGACCUACCCCUAGGUGCGCAUUCUUUCUCAGGGACGUUCCAUGCUGAGAAAAAGAAUUCAGCAAUAUUUCUCCCAUUUGCUUUUGAAAGAAGAGAAAUAUGACUCUGUUCUGCCCGGCUCACCGGCGGUCAGAGUUUAAGGUUCUCUCUCUUAUUCCCCGAACAACUGCUGUUAUCCUGUUCUUUUUUCAGGGUGCCCACAUUUCAUACUGCUCAAACACACAUGCUGUACAAUUUUUGUAGCUAACGCAAUUAUUACAGGGUCCUGGAAUGAUAUACAUCCUCCUCAACUGACAGGAUUAAGAGAUUAAAGUAAAGACAGGCAUAGGAAAUCACAAGGGUAUUGACUGGGGAAGUCCGUGAAAUCUUUACAAUUUAUGUUUAGAGAUUGCAGUAAAGACAGGCGUAAGAAAUUAUGAAAGUAUUAAUUUGGGGAACUAAUAAAUGUCCAUAAAAUCUUCAC
This 5352-nucleotide small RNA is filed under the name Pongo abelii (Sumatran orangutan). RNAcentral's name for it is "processed transcript". Lineage: Eukaryota; Metazoa; Chordata; Mammalia; Primates; Hominidae. The record is from RNAcentral.